Molecule: ribosomal RNA, 253 nt
Filed under: uncultured bacterium
Lineage: Bacteria
Description: partial 16S ribosomal RNA
Rfam family: Bacterial small subunit ribosomal RNA
Source: RNAcentral
UACGUAGGGUGCAAGCGUUGUCCGGAAUUACUGGGCGUAAAGGGCUCGUAGGCGGCCAACUAAGUCGGAUGUGAAAUCCCCAAGCUUAACUUGGGAACUGCAUCCGAUACUGGAUGGCUUGAAUCCGGGAGAGGGAUGCAGAAUUCCAGGUGUAGCGGUGAAAUGCGUAGAUAUCUGGAGGAAUACCGGUGGCGAAGGCGGCAUCCUGGACCGGCAUUGACGCUGAGGAGCGAAAGCUAGGGGAGCAAACGGG